AGGACUUGACUGCAACCACUUUUCUUGUUCAUGAUAGUGGACCUCCUUGUACCAGUGAGGGCAUUGUAGAGCACGGUCGUAUGGAGGGUGCAGACACUGAUACUGCACAGGAGGGUGGAGUCAUUGAUACUGCACAGGAGGGUGGAGACACUGAUAUUGCACAGACACAGGAUGGUGCAUCUCAGGACCACGUGCAGCAGGAUGAUUCAUCUCAGCCACCUUCACGUGGAGUGAAGAGGACUGCAGAUGAGAUGCACGCGAGUUCUUAGAUUGUAUAUUUUAGAUCAUGUCAUGUUAUUGUAUUGUGGAUUUUUUUAUGAUGACACUUGUUAUGUUAUCCUGGGACUUGUUAUUAUGUAAUUAUAUAUAGGACUUGUUGUUA
Cryptomeria japonica (Japanese cedar) is the source of this 382-nucleotide long non-coding RNA. RefSeq lists it as uncharacterized. The record is from RefSeq and is a predicted model, not a curated record. Lineage: Eukaryota; Viridiplantae; Streptophyta; Pinopsida; Cupressales; Cupressaceae. The transcript is spliced from 2 exons.